Homo sapiens (human) is the source of this 1307-nucleotide long non-coding RNA. Ensembl annotates it as leucine rich repeat containing 77, pseudogene. Its record names the gene LRRC77P. The record is from Ensembl. Lineage: Eukaryota; Metazoa; Chordata; Mammalia; Primates; Hominidae.
GUUGUUUAUGUAAGAAUUUCAAGGCCACAACUCCAUAUUUGAAGUAAAGUGCUCAUAAAAUUAAUUGCAAGUAAAUCCUGUGGAAGGAAAGAAGAAAGGAGGAAAGAGGAUUGGAUGGAAGAAUCUCCACUUCUCAUAGGUGUAGUCCUUCCUUAGCCUGCUUUUUAAUGAGUGCUGCUAAAGCCCUUAGCCUGCCUGUUUACCCUUGGAGUGAAUCCGUGGAAGACCCCCAAAAGAGGCUGCAGAUUCUUAGUGGACAGCUCUCAUAUCCCCUCCAGGGAAAAUGAUGAAAAAUGUCUUCAGAAAAAUAGCUUUAUGAAGGCAAGAGGACUUUUUGCACCUGCAAGACAUGUCUGAAAGCUCCUCAGGUCAAAACACAAGUAGUCAAGAGAUUUGUCCAUCUAAUUCAUCAUACUACUCUGAUCCAAGUGAGACCCACACUGGGUCAGCUCCAUCAAGGAGAAGAACAUUCCACCCACGUUUGGAUUCUGGAAUAUCAUCCUUGCUUCCAUCAGAUUCUUGUAAGUACCUCACUUGGCACAAGGUAGACAUGACGUUCAAGGAAGUCAACUGCGUUGCCCAAGAGUAAGAGAAGGAAUCUCUGAAGAAGAGCAACUUUUCAGACAGGUAGAGUGUGCCUUGCUCCCAAGGAAAAGAGUUCUUGAAAAAAACAAAUGGGAAACAUGGCUACAAGAAAACUGGGAAGACUGCAAGAAAAUCUCAGAAUCUGCUUGAGAAUCCGGUCCUUCUUCCUCCAUACACCCAUGGAACACUCCCAAACUCUGUAUGCUGCUCACUAAUUCUGAUUAAGGUCUUCACCCUCCCUACCUUGGAAAUUGCUACAACAUAAUUGUGUUUAAUUUGAACAUUUCAUUUCAGGGUUUGGGGGAUCCUUACCAAGUUGAAAAUUUUAACAGAAUUCUUAGAAGACUAAUUCGAGUUGAAACCCUCUGGUUAGUGGAUAAUUCACUGGUGGACUUAAGUGCCAUAAGAUUGCCAAGUUACCAAGGAUACCUCAGAUACAGCAUUUAUCCUUGGCCGAAAACCACAUUGAGACUCUUACUGGAUUCUCCAGUUUACGGUGCACUCCACUGGAAUCCCUUAUUCUCAAGAGGAACCCUUAGUAUUCUCCUGUUUGCCAAACUUAAAAAUGCUGGAUGGAAUCUUGAAGCUACCAGAAGAUUGCUUAUCACCAGAAACCAAUAUUUUUUCAAAAAUAUGCCUUGUAUCCUAAUGCAGUCUGUAUAGAAAGAAAGCAAUCAUCAUUGUUGCUAAAAGCUAAUAAACACAGGACAUGCAUGAUUAAA